Molecule: long non-coding RNA, 704 nt
Organism: Pyrus x bretschneideri (Chinese white pear)
Lineage: Eukaryota; Viridiplantae; Streptophyta; Magnoliopsida; Rosales; Rosaceae
Exons: 3
Source: RefSeq, a predicted model, not a curated record
AAUAAAAAAACUACAAAAUUCAAUCCACCGUCUUUGGGCCCGGUCUCCUUCGGCAUACGUUGUACAACGGCAAAGCCCCCCUUCUUCCUCCAAACCCGUUCCCACUCUUCGAGCUUCCCUUUAAACAAUCCCUGAAACGCGUUUCACUUAACAGUUAUUGAAGAGCUAAAAACAUCUUAAUACUGAAGAAGGAUGCCGCAUAGAACUCGGCCAAUGACUGCGCUCUUGGUGUUUACUGGACUGAAUAUUGCACUAGUUUCAACCAUUACUCCAGUCUAUGAUUUCGUCUGCUUCCUUCCGUAUUGGGAAAGAAGGAGAGAACGGCAUCAUCAGGAACGUGAGGCUACCAUAGCAAAUGGCCUUACAUCAAGAUAGAAAUAUCUAAACGUCUUCAGUUACAGGUUUUACGCUUUUCUAAUGUUUAAUGCAGUUUGAGGUGUGUUCUAUUUAUCUAAGAUUUUACUAAACAGAGAUAAGAAGGUAUAUGAUUCUUUAGGAUGCCUACUUAUGGAUGUUAUCUCCGUAUAUCUCAUCUUCUAAUUUUGAAAUAUGUUUGGAUACAACCUCAAAGAUUUGUAGGACAUCACAGUGAGCAUACAAUGGAAUGCUCUAUACCAUAUAUGCUCUAUGCAAACUGUAACAUAUAAGUCCUUGGGCUUUACAGAUCUGGUUUCUCUUGCUUUACAUACUGAUUUCUGAACUCA